GAUGAACGCUGGCGGCGUGCCUAAUACAUGCAAGUCGAGCGAACAGACGAGGAGCUUGCUCCUUUGACGUUAGCGGCGGACGGGUGAGUAACACGUGGGUAACCUACCUAUAAGACUGGGAUAACUUCGGGAAACCGGAGCUAAUACCGGAUAAUAUUUCGAACCGCAUGGUUCGAUAGUGAAAGAUGGCUUUGCUAUCACUUAUAGAUGGACCUGCGCCGUAUUAGCUAGUUGGUAAGGUAACGGCUUACCAAGGCAACGAUACGUAGCCGACCUGAGAGGGUGAUCGGCCACACUGGAACUGAGACACGGUCCAGACUCCUACGGGAGGCAGCAGUAGGGAAUCUUCCGCAAUGGGCGAAAGCCUGACGGAGCAACGCCGCGUGAGUGAUGAAGGUCUUCGGACCGUAAAACUCUGUUAUUAGGGAAGAACAAACGUGUAAGUAACUGUGCACGUCUUGACGGUACCUAAUCAGAAAGCCACGGCUAACUACGUG
Molecule: ribosomal RNA, 497 nt
Filed under: uncultured bacterium
Lineage: Bacteria
Description: partial 16S ribosomal RNA
Rfam family: Bacterial small subunit ribosomal RNA
Source: RNAcentral